GGAGGUGUGGCUCAGUGCCAGAGUGCUUGCCUGGCAUGCAAGAGCCCUGGGAUCCAUCCCCCGCACCACAG
RNAcentral lists this transfer RNA (71 nucleotides) under Fukomys damarensis (Damara mole-rat). It matches the Rfam family "tRNA". From Rfam's summary of the family: Transfer RNA (tRNA) molecules are approximately 80 nucleotides in length. Their secondary structure includes four short double-helical elements and three loops (D, anti-codon, and T loops). The record is from Rfam by way of RNAcentral. Lineage: Eukaryota; Metazoa; Chordata; Mammalia; Rodentia; Bathyergidae.